CGGCGGCAUCGCUUGCAAAUGAGGGAGGUGGCCGAGACCAGUCAAGGAGGGUGAGGCGGCGGCGUUGGUGGUCGUGCGGAGUCCGGGAGAGUGGAGAGAAGGUAUCUCUCCUCUUUCAUUUCACAUCAUUGUUUGAGCAAAAGAGAGAGAGAGAGAGAGAGAGAGAUAUGGCGUUGUUUCUAAAUUUCAUCUUCCCGGUGCCGCCGUCGUUGUUCUUAACGGCUAUGAGGUGAUCGGAGCCACGACAUCGGGGUUGGGUGGAAUCUCCAAGGCCAUGGUGAAGAAUAUCCAGUACUCCACGUUCUGGAUCAAAUUCUGGAAAAAUCCAAUCUUUAUUGAAUGAAAUUUUGUUCCAUAGUGGUUCCAAAAUUCUUAUUGAGUUCCUCUCUCCUUCUCCUCCUCCACCAUCCACCUCUCCAAUGGCUUCCAUCUCCGGCUUCUGUUUCUUCUCUUUGAGAACAAAAAGAGUGAAUCUUUGCGAGUUUUAGUGGGUCGUUUGGUGUCUGUGCUAAAGACUACUGAGAAUGAUGGAGGUAGAGAUUUUCAUGGUUCAUGGAGGAAUGAGAGGUUUCUCCAACGGAGAUGAACAUGAGCAUAAGUAAGGGCAUGAGAGGCUGCGAAAGAGGAAAAAAAAGAAAAAGAGUGAAAAAAAACCCAUUUUGAUUCUAUUUUCCCCUAAAUUUUAUCCAAUUUCUUCAUUUCUUUGCUGAAAAUCCUGGAUUUUUUGAUCCAUCUGUUCAUCUACUUCAUUUGAAAGAAAGAUUUGAGGGUUUGGAGAUAGAGAAGGAGAUGAAGAGUAGCCAAAGACCACCUUGAAUGGAGCCAGAGCCGGAGUUGCCCUUGCAAUGAGGAAGUCGGAAGCAGCUCCGAUGUGUGAGAGUGCAAGAUGAGACCAUUCUGGAUAGAUUCGUUGAUCGCAUCCUUGAAAAGGAUCUCCCAUCGUUCAUAUCAUGAGGCCCGACAAGGGCCGCCAUAUACAAGGCCAAGCAGUGAGGGUGGUUAUUUUAAUGCAACUAUGAGCUUCCCUUCUAAUUAUCCCAAUAGCACUCCUACUGUUAGAUUCACAUCGGAGAUGUGGCACCCAAAUGUUUAUCCUGAUGGGUGUGUUUGCAUAUCAAUUCUUCAUGCACUAGGGGAUGACCCAAAUGGGUAUGAGCUUGCAAGUGACCGUUGGACACCUGUUCAUACAGUUGAAAGCAUAGUGUUGAGUAUUAUUUCCAUUCUAUGAAGUCCCAAUGAUGAAUCUCCUGCUAAUAUUGAAGCCUUCUGAGUGGAGCAAUUGCAUUGAGAUAUUAUGAAGAAGUAGGAUUCCUCUUCACAAUUGUUGGGUGGCCUGAAACAAUUGCUAGCCAUCAGGAAAUUAAGGAUAAUGAGGCCUAUUAAAGCUUUUGCUAUGAAUCACAGGCUUGCUGAUUUUCCUCCUGAUGAAUACUAAUGAAGAAUGAACAGAAGACAAUCAAAAGUUCUCCCCAGCCAAGAUAUAUAUUAUUAGUAAAUUACACAAUUUGUUUGGAACUAAGGAAAUAUUGAUGCAUUUAAUUUUUUAAAUAAUCUCGCCUGAAUUUUGAAAUUUUUAGUGAAGAAAAUUCCAGUUUUUCCC
Dioscorea cayenensis subsp. rotundata (Guinea yam) is the source of this 1600-nucleotide long non-coding RNA. RefSeq lists it as uncharacterized. The record is from RefSeq and is a predicted model, not a curated record. The transcript has 8 exons. Lineage: Eukaryota; Viridiplantae; Streptophyta; Magnoliopsida; Dioscoreales; Dioscoreaceae.